Molecule: long non-coding RNA, 1458 nt
Organism: Juglans regia (Persian walnut)
Lineage: Eukaryota; Viridiplantae; Streptophyta; Magnoliopsida; Fagales; Juglandaceae
Exons: 3
Source: RefSeq, a predicted model, not a curated record
UCCUCCCACUUUCAGUUCUGGUUCCAGCCUCUUUAAACUACCAAAAACGGGAUUCCAUGUUCGUGCCCGUACAGCUUCUGUUGUCUCGACAAUUAUUUUAUGCUUUUGGGAAAUGUUGGUUGAUAGGAUGGUAAACCAGUGAUGAGUUGGAGGAGAAUGACCAAGUCUCUUCAACCUUUGUGACACAAAUAUGGCCUGAUCUUCUCCUUCACUCUCUUGCUUGCGCUCAAGCUUCAGCCUGCCGAGCCUUAUUCCUAGUGGUUCACUUUCAGGGAACACUAUAUGGUGACAUCUAUCAUUCUUAGUUCUUUUUGCUCCUCUUUUUCUGUUGCGGGGAGCUGAGGUAUUAUUUGCUGCAUAAAGAUUGGUGGAGAAAAUUGUCUUAAUUUUCAGUUUACACUAGAGUGGGCUCAAGAACAUACUCUGGUCUACCAUCAAAAGCUUGCAACUCUUUUGGGGUUUUGCACCAUGGAUCAAGGUUCUUGGUUGGUGGUCGAUUGAUGAAGAAAGUCGAGAGGAACAAGCUAGACUUUAUAAUGUUGGGAAUUAUGGAUAAGUGUUUUCUACACUGCAUUUUCUAACUUUCACGGGACAUCUUUAUUUAAGCAAUUUUCAUUAUGUACUUAGCUGCUCACUUGUCAGAGCAACUCAAAGAGCCACAAUUUCCAUGUUCAAGUUUAUGUGGACCUAAAUUGGCUGUAUGGGUACUGCGUACUUCAAGUGCAUGCUUGUGUGUGUGACAUACUAGAGCUUAGCAUUCAUGCAAUGCAUAAUAUGGUUUUUAGACUGGUCAUUUUUAUCGUAAUCUUUUUUGUCAUACAGUUUAUACUAUCUGUCAUUCUAGUGUGGUAUUGAAGUACUUAGCUUUGGUUUCGUGAAGAAAACAUUAUCUCUAUGUCACUGGUAGGGUUGUUGUGGUUUUUCCCUUAAAAACUCUCUCAUGUCCACCCUCCUCCAAUGCAUCUACAAAAUGCCUCAUUUUUGUGCCUUCAAGAUUUUAUAGGACAACCAUGAAAGAUGAGGUAUGUUGGCAUAAUGUCUAUGCAGUUUGACAAAGUAAUUCAGAUGAAUUAAAAAGGAAAAAAAAUGGUUGUUGCAAAUCUCUACUUGAUCCAUAUCGUUCAGGUACUGCACUGUUGCUACCCUGGCUUUUGUUUUUCUACCUUUUGUUUGCAUUGAAUUGUCCACAUUGCAGCAUAUAUGUUACUCAGCCUGAUUAGAUGUUAUUUGAAUAUUAAAUCUCUAUUAUAUACCAAAUGACUUGUCUUGAUAUAAUAUUUUGAUUAUUUUCAUCUCAAAUCUGAAGACUACAACCUGCACUUUGUGGGCAAUAGUAAAUCUAUUAUAUACCAACUGAUUUAUCUUUAUAUGUGUGAUACCCCAUAUGAUAAGAAUAAGGGUAGGUAGUGUGUGGGAUCCCACAUUACUUGGGAAUGAGAAGUUCUUGCUCGUUAUAAG